RNAcentral lists this long non-coding RNA (1746 nucleotides) under Carica papaya (papaya). Its description in RNAcentral is "long non-coding RNA (CPAP_LNC014167)". The record is from RNAcentral. Lineage: Eukaryota; Viridiplantae; Streptophyta; Magnoliopsida; Brassicales; Caricaceae.
CUUAAUCAUGCUCGGAACUUGAUCAUGUUUCAGAGGCAAUUGAGGAAGAAAAACAAAUUGUAGCGAGGAUAAGAAAAUUUGAGUGUUUGUUAGUUGAAGAAGAAGGAUUCAAAAAGAAAAAAAGAAAUUAAGAGUUAAAAAGUUUUGAUACUAUUUGUUAAGAUCGUAAAUCUUAAUUUGAAAAAAAUUAGAGAACGGAUAAGAAGACUCUAAAAGAAAGAUUUGAAGGAAGAAAGAAGGACUUGGAAUUAAUAAUAAUUAGAGAUUAUUAGAAGUAAUUAGUUAAGUUAUAUUGGUAUAAGUAAUGUGUUACACUAAUAUCAUUGAAAAAAAAAAAAAAGUGGGGUGUAUAUUCAAAGUAUAUAUCCAUUUCUAGAAACGCGAUGGUUACGAGGACUAAUUAUCUACUUUAAGAGGAGUAUAAUAGAAUGAAUCCAUAAUAGAUUUUAGUAUUUACAAUAAUAUUUUAUGUAAAAUUCUUUAAAAAGAGACUUAAAUCUAUAUGAUCUAUUAUUUGUUGUCCAUGUACUAUAUAUUGUUCCAAUUGUGUAUAUCCGGAUAUAUAUAUAUAUAUAUAUAUAUAUGUGUGUGUGUGUGUGUAUGUGUAUGGAGGGAAAGAGAGUUGGGGAUAAGAAAAUUAAAAGCAAUAUUAGUAAAGAAUUGUGGGGUGUGGAUAUGUUAGGAACUUAAUCAUGUUUUAGUGGGAAUUGAGGAAGAGAAAAGAAUUGUGGUAGAGAUAAGGAAAGUUAAGUGUUGUUGAGGUUUCAAAAAGAAAAAGAAAUCAAGAUUUGAGAGAAAUUAGAGAGUGGGUAAGAAAAUUGAAAAAGAAAGAUUUGGAAAGAAGAAGAAGAAGAACUUGGAAUUAAUAAUAAUUAGAGUUUACUACAAAGUAAUUAAAUUAGUCGAAAGAUAUUGAGUUUGCAAAUAAAGAAGAAUAGAUCAAAAAGUACGAGAUCUGUAAGGGUGUACACAAAAAUUUCCUCAAAAAAUUCAAACCCGAGUGGUCUUUAAUCUUCUCAAACUCUUACUUAACCGGUCACUUAUUCUUCCAUUUUGAUUUAAUAAAUUUAGAGAUUUCUUCUACAACCUUUUAAGCUUCCAUAGAAAAUUAACCAUCCAUUUAUUUGUUCGUAUAUUUUUUUUCUUUCUAUAUAAAUCACCAAUAUUCAUAUAUGUGCCCUACCAAUAAAUAAAAUAUUUUAAAUAUAUUAUCAUUAUCUCUCUUAAAUUUUUAUCUAUCUUUUCUCUUAAUAUUCUCUCUCUUUUUCUCUCAAAUCCGGAUACAUACUUUCUUAAAUCAGAACCACAUACCUGAGCCGUGAGAAAUUACUGAACUUUAAGUAGGAAAUAGUUUUACUCAAUUUGUUUUUAACUAUGAAAUGUAGUCUUCCACACGAUUUAUCUUAAAACUCUAAAAAGAUAUAAAUAGGGCAUACCUCAUGUCUGCAACAAGUCCAAAAUCAAGGAUAUAUCCUUUUGGGCAGUUCAUCUUCUUCUACAAAAUCAAGUCCAAACUCAAGGUUUAGUGCUCCAAUUUCAGCUUAUUGAUGUUGUUACAAGUUCAACAAUGGAGUGUUCCGAUGAUGUCGUGUUCAAAUUAUCAAUAUUAUCCUAUGAUGUCGCGUUCAAAUUAUCAAUAUUAUCCUGUCUUACUAACUUUUAAUACAUUAAAUACCAAAACUAAUAAAAUUUAGUAUACAUGCAAUCCAAAAUAUAUGAUAUAAGCUUAUAUUUGGCCUCAAGAAA